CCUACGGGAGGCAGCAGUCGAGAAUCAUUCACAAUGGGGGAAACUCUGAUGGUGCGACGCCGCGUGGGGGAAUGAAGGUCUUCGGAUUGUAAACCCCUGUCAUGUGGGAGCAAAUUAAAAAGAUAGUACCACAAGAGGAAGAGACGGCUAACUCUGUGCCAGCAGCCGCGGUAAUACAGAGGUCUCAAGCGUUGUUUGGAAUCACUGGGCGUAAAGCGUGCGUAGGCUGUUUCGUAAGUCGUGUGUGAAAGGCGCGGGCUCAACCCGCGGACGGCACAUGAUACUGCGAGACUAGAGUAAUGGAGGGGGAACCGGAAUUCUCGGUGUAGCAGUGAAAUGCGUAGAUAUCGAGAGGAACACUCGUGGCGAAGGCGGGUUCCUGGACAUUAACUGACGCUGAGGCACGAAGGCCAGGGGAGCGAAAGGGAUUAGAUACCCGAGUAGUC
RNAcentral lists this ribosomal RNA (446 nucleotides) under uncultured bacterium. RNAcentral describes it as "partial 16S ribosomal RNA". It matches the Rfam family "Bacterial small subunit ribosomal RNA", at positions 338 to 795 of the family's 1533-position model. The record is from RNAcentral.